Molecule: transfer RNA, 87 nt
Filed under: Myxococcales bacterium
Lineage: Bacteria; Pseudomonadati; Myxococcota; Myxococcia; Myxococcales
Description: tRNA-Ser
Rfam family: tRNA
About the family: Transfer RNA (tRNA) molecules are approximately 80 nucleotides in length. Their secondary structure includes four short double-helical elements and three loops (D, anti-codon, and T loops).
Source: RNAcentral
GGAGGGGUGGCCGAGGGGUAAGGCUCCGGGGUGCUAACCCGUGGACGGGUCUCACGACCUGCGCGCGUUCGAUCCGCGCUCCCUCCG